This 4024-nucleotide long non-coding RNA is filed under the name Triticum aestivum (bread wheat). RNAcentral's name for it is "long non-coding RNA (TAES_LNC004483)". Lineage: Eukaryota; Viridiplantae; Streptophyta; Magnoliopsida; Poales; Poaceae. The record is from RNAcentral.
UUUGCCGUUGUGUGGAGUGCACGGACGCGUUCGUCGCGUUCUCAAGGAUCUAGAUCCUAGACGACCUCGUGGAGUUCGGUGGAGCGUUCUCAAGGGUUUCGGCCAAGAUGACAUGGCCGACGGCUAGAAAACCAUGGCAGAGGUGUUGUAGUUUGGCCCAGUGGAGGAGGCUGUGAGGGAACUCACCGAGUCACCUGCUGGUGGUGAAUGAUUGGAUCUGACUACCGUGAGAUGAUGUCCUCCUCACUGUUCUUGCUGUCAGACUACUUUAAAUGUAAUUGCAAACUGAUGAUAUGCAUCCUUUGUACCGAAGAUUAAUUCUUGUUUAUUUUCUUAAGCUGUAAAGGCCUUAUCUUCUAAUGUUUUAAUAUGUCACCUUGGAUAUUAAUUUUUGUAUAGGUUUGUUGUGCAAAAGCUAACUUGUUGAAUUUUCUGAAGUAACGUCUAGUAACCACAUCAAGUAACGGAGAAACAUAUUCCAGUUGCCAGCAAGACGCCAUUGACUUGCUUAUCACUGGUAUGUUCCUCUAUAUGGCGAUGGUCUGGUAUAGAUUUGCCAAAUUAUAAUUUCUUCAAAUUGUGACUUGAAUCCUAAUGUGGAAACUAUGCUCCUGUAGUGUGUUUCUACCUAUUGUGCCGGUUUGUACAUAUUUGCUGAAAAUAGCUUGUACAUAAAGGAAAGUACAUGAAGAAAGUAAAUCAAUCUGUUUUAGAACAUUGGUAACAUUCACACUCUUAAUAUAAUAAUAUCCUUCUUAUCCAAGUCGAUGUCAAAUACUCUUACUUAUCUUGGUCGAUACAAAUAGACUAUUGUACUAUUUAUUUCAUAAGCUACUGAUCCACUAAUUACCUAGAUGUCUAAGAACAUUGGUAACACUCACACCCUUAAUCUAAUAAUAUCCUUCUUAUCCUCAUCCAUGUCAAGUACUCUUACUUAUCAUGUUCAUAAGCUACUGAUCCACUAAUUAUCUAGAUAACAUCCUUGUUCUCCUGGGCCUUGCUUUCUGUACUUCAUCUUCAUCUUCAAGCAUUGUAUUUUUGGCUUUUGCUUUAACACAUUUCUUGUUACCGCGGACACCUUUUUCAUUUUGUUUAGGCAUAUUCGUCUCAAUGCAUUCAUCCUCCGAGUCAUCUGAUAUUACAACAGAUCUCAGUCUCCUUUUAUUGCCACUUCGGAGCUCACGGGAUGAUGACGAUAUUUUGUCUUGACUCUUAUCUUUGUUUAAUGUAGUCCCAUUGCUGUCAUGUGGCUCCUCUUUCACAGGCACCAGUUCGCAUGAAAGUUCGCCAGGUGAAACUUUAUUAUUCUUUGACUGCAAACAUAUACAUUUUUAAAAUUAGACACAUCUAUAAAAUCUAAAGUGUGUAUAUAGUUUUAAAAAAUCAAUCACCUUUCUAUCUAGCAUGUUCUGCUUCUUCAUUAAUACGAUGUCAACCUCAUCAUCCAUCAGUUCCUGUGCAACAUAUGUAAGAUUAAUUAGUUAAGGAAUUCUAAAAAUGGUAAAAAGUUAAUGCAACUUUACCUCCUCGGCUUUAUUGUCCAAGUAGAGCAUCUCAAGCUUAUCAUCAGAAACAAAUGUUCUUUUUACUGCAUAGUUUUGUGUGCCAAAUGUGAGAUUACUAUCAUUGAGCUUGAAUCGAAAUAUAAGUCUUUUUCCACAUAAUUGUUGAAUAAUCUUUGGCGCUUCUUCUAAUUUCCCAUCUAGUGUGUCCAGCAACUUAGAUGCAGACAUAUUAAGCAAUCUUGCAGCCUCCUCGUCAAAUAAAGUGCAGCUUGUAGUAGAUGUAUGGUCACUAAUUUGGAGACGAACAUGAUACCUAACAUACAAUUCAUGUUAGUGGAGAGUAAAUACAAUAUAACAAUGCUUGUUCAUAUUUUAGUAAUAUAAUAUGCUUACCGUGGUGUGACCUUUUCUGGAUAUAUACCACAAUUCUUGCAAUAAUACUUGUCGGUUUCUUUAGUAGCCAAUUUGUGACACUUACACAUGACAUGUACCACCAUUGAAUAUUUUCUUGCAAACAGUCUAUUGUAGCUAUUGUUGUGAAGACAAAAUUCUAAAAAAAAUCAACGUUAGCAUUGGGGUAGGGGUAGGGGAUUAAGAGACAUAUAUAAGUACAUUAUGGUUUCAUUAUAAUUAAUAUUGAAUGAAUUGUCCUUGCAUGUAUUUUACUCAUAUUACAAAGACUAAUGACAUAUUUAUUGAAAUUCGAUGCAUUACCUGGUCUGGCUGGUUUUCGUGCCUCAUUGUAGUAAGUUGUUCCAAUGUUUUCCUCCUAUAAAACAUUUGUUCUUCUAGUGUUCCUUGAUUACUCCUAUCUAUACCGAUCAUUUUUGGUAAGGUUUCUUCUGUCGAGUCCCUGCACAUGCAUGAAGUGAAUAAUAAUAUUGAAUCUUAAAUGAACGUGAGUCACUAUUUAUAAGUGGAAAAUAAAUAAAUUGGUGGUAUUUCAUACCUAUCAAGAAGUUCUUGUGUUUCUGGUAUAUCCAGAUCUAUAUAUAUUCUUGUGGCACUGGUUGACUUUAGGCACAGACCUAUUUAAUCCAUCAGUUAGAAUUUUAAAUGAUAAAAAUAACAUGUAAGUUUUAUGGAUUUACCAUUAAAUCUCUGUACCAUCGUUGAUGUAAUAAUAAGGACAGUUUGGCUGCCGAUUACAUCCUCGGUCAAAAAAUAAGCAAACUUUCCCCAUAACGUGAUUCUGAUUUUAUCACCCCAAAAGCAUUUAAUACGAGAAGUUAGUGCACACGGGGAGGUUUGGUUAAAUUUGAGACAUGCAUAUGCAUAUGCACUUACUCUGGCAUUAGGAUUUCAAUCUCGCGGAUAUAUGAAGGUUGUUGGUUCUUCUUUGUUAUUCUUGUCUCCACAGGCUUCAUUUGUGUUAGUAGUCCAAUGACAUCUGCAUAUUUGGAUAUUAGUGAUAUAACAAUUAGAAUAUCAACUAUUUCGAAGUCGAAAUUACAACUAUAAACAUACCUGAGCAUUGUGUAUCUUUUUCUGCCCUUUCUUCUAGUGUCUCGAUGGUAGCAAACUCGAAGCAAUAAUCUGGGAAAACUUCUGAAGAUUCUUUUAUCUCCUUUACCUUUGUAUUGUAUGCAAAAAAUAUUUUAAUGUCAUUGCUCACUGGCCUAUAUUUUGUGGAUUCCACGACCUUAAAAUUGCUGAAUGCAUAAAUAGAUUUUUCAUUGAUCUUUGAUCUAAAAGCGUCUAUAAGAUUCUUCCAGAUAGUAACAUGGAUUAUUUCACCCUGCUGAAAGAAUAAAAUAUGGUUAGUAAUUGUUGCUUCAUGUGACAGAAAGAUUCCAAUUAAAUAUAUUAAAAAACAAACCUGCUCAUCCAUUAGUAUCAUAUCUAGGCUAAUAAGCUCAUCGGUCGUAGGAUUGAUCGAAUCCCACAUUCUCAUUACUUUCACUUGAAUGUUCCAAUUUUGUCCCCUUGUAGUUAAGUCGCUCAACUUCUUGUAUGCCAUAGUGUUAUGUCUUCAAAAUUAACAGGAACAAUUUGUCAGUUGAUAUACUAUUUAUGAAGAUUUCUAACGAAAAGAAAGUAAGCAUACUAAAUAAAAUUACCAAUCUGAUGAUGCAGGCCAGAAGUGCUUUGCGGUCACUUCUUUCGACGUGGAUUGUAGCAGCUGGGCGUAACUUUGUCGGGCGUCGACUGUGCUCUGGCGUGACUUUGUUGGAAGUCAAAAGAAGCGGCUGGAGGUGGCUUUCGGUGUGGAUGUCGAGUUGUGUGUGCCUUGUUCAAGUCGUCGUGGUUGCCGACUUCUACUUGUUUGUUGGGUGCUUGUGCGGCCAGGUGCACUUGUUUAUAUAAUGGGUUAAGGUGUCUAGGUUGGGGUGUCCGAGACCGUGUGGAGAUCAUAUUGUAAACUUGUCUUAUCUGCAUGUAAUCGUUUCUGUUUUGGAACUUUCCUCACGUGGUCUGGUGGCUGUCCUUAUUUGUUUAGAUUCCUUAUUUGUCUAGGUUUGACUAUUGUUUGUUGUUAUCCUUGACCCAUUGAUGUGAAGGUUUUUUUUGUUUGUGCG